Camellia sinensis is the source of this 4519-nucleotide non-coding RNA. NCBI's taxonomy places the organism in Eukaryota, Viridiplantae, Streptophyta, Magnoliopsida, Ericales, Theaceae. The record is from RefSeq and is a predicted model, not a curated record.
AUCAAAGGUUUUAGCGUUCUCUCUCUCUCUCUCUCUCUCUCUAUGUGACCUCCCUCUUCGUCCAUGGAGGCUCUCAAUCCCACAAUACCAAGCAAACCUCAAUUCUUCUCUUCCCUUUCGAUUUUCUCUCCCAAAUAUUCUCUGAGAACAUGGAAAAAGAAAAACCUUUACAGGUUCAAUAUACCCAACUCCAAAAUUCCUCUGUACCCACCAUUUUCCGCCUCAAAACUUCGAAUUUCAGCCCAUUUCGGCCGACCCACGAAUCGCCGAAACUCGCUGAGAAAAAAGCUCAUUGAAGAACAACAACAACAGGUGCGUCAUCGUUCUCAAAACCCAGUUCUUGAUUAUGAUAAUAGUGAGAUUUAUUAUUCGAAUUUGGGUAAUGAUAGUGUAGAAAAAAGUAAGUUUAGUUCUAAUUAUGGGGUUAGUGAAGGUAGUGUUGAUUCUGAUAGUAUAGAGGAAUUGAAAUCAAAAGGUUUGGGUGAAUCUGUAUUGUGGAAUAAAUUGGAGAGUUGGGUUGAUCAGUAUAAGAAUGAUUCAGAGUUUUGGGGAAUUGGGUUUAAUCCUAUAUUCACUGUGUUUCAAGAUUCAGGUGGGAAUGUUGAGAGGGUGGUUGUUAAUGAAGAUGAAAUCUUGCGAAGAAGCGGAAUUGAGAUGGAGAUGUAUAAGAAAAGUGAAAUUGAGGACUUGACAGAAGUGAAUUCAAAGAUUUCUCAUGCUAAAUUUCUGGCUCGAGAGAUGGAGAAUGGGAAUUGUGUGUUUUCGAAGAGUAGUUCGAUAGCUAAGUUCAUAGUUUCGGGCAAGCAUAGGGGUUUUGAUAAUGCAAUUUGGGGUCUUGCUCUUCGACCCGGAUUGUCUUUGAAGCUCCCAAGAAUUGGGAUCAUGGUGUUGUGUGGUUUGUUUGUGUUCUGGGCGAUGAAGGCAAUUUUCAGUGGUGGGAAAGAGAAAGUAGAAUACACGAGGUUGGAGAAGGAAAUUAUGAGGAGAAAGAUGAAAGCAAGAAAGGAGAAAGACAAGUUGGUGACGGGUAGCGUGGAAGUUAUUCAGGAUCCAAUGGAGCCACAGAUUGAAAGGCCAAGGCUUAAUGAGCAGGAUCUUAUGAAUAGCAUUACGAAAGUGAAAGCAUCAAGUAAUAAUACACUGGCACUACAUGAAUCUUCUAGUGAUCGGGCGGUGUCUAAGGAUUUAGAUAGUAAAAUUCAGGAAAUUAGAGCAAUGGCAAGGCAAGCACGAGAGAUUGAGAGAAGAGAUCCUUCACCAAGUGAUACUGAUGGAGGAGAUGAUUUAACUGUGAAUGAGCUGACUGAUGAAAAAGAAGUGGUUAAACAGCAUGGAGUAGUUGUGAUUCUCCCAAAUGAUCUUUCUAUUGAAUAUUCAGGUCAAAUAAGAGGCGUUAAUGGAACCUCAACGCCCAUGUCUUUCAAUGAUGUGGAAAACAAUGAUACUGAAUUCAGUGAGGAAGUUUUGGUAGAGAACAUUGACACCCAAACAUCUAGUACUUCAAGCAUGAAAGUUUCCAAUGAUGGUGAAAGCACUACACGUGAAGGAGUUGUGAGUCUCCCAAAUGGUCUUUCUAAUGAAGAUUCAGACCAAGUAGAAGGUGAUGAUGGAACCUUAACGCCCAAGUUCAAUGAUCUGAAAAACAAUGAUGCUAGAUUCGGUGAGGAAGUUUUGCUGGAGAACAGUGGUACGCAAACGGCUAGUACUUCAAUCAUGAAAGUUUCCAAUGAUGGUGAAAGCACAAUACAAGAUGUGAUCAAUAGAGAAAGUGCUGUAAACAUAUCAGACACAACUAAUGUGAGCCAAUCCUCUAACACAUUUGAAAGUCACUCAAGAAAACUAAAGAGAAGUUUCGGAACAAAACCAAGGGUUAUACGCUCAGUUAAGGAAGCUAGGGAAUUCCUCUCUCAAAAACGUAACAAACAAGAGCCUAAUCAAGAAUAUCAAGAGAAAACCGUGCCAGAAGGUGCUGCAAUUUUAAGUAUUGAAAGGGAAAAAGAUACCAAUAGCAAUGGGAGGAAGGGAAUAGAUAAGGACAAUGAAGUGUCUGGCACGACCAUUUUAGAUGGGACGCCAGAUUUUGCACCUGCAAUAAAUGCUGGUAAAGAUUCUGCCCUGAAGAGAAAGGAAUCUGUUCCGGCUGAAAAAAGUGGUCCUCAAGCUGCUGAUGAAGGAUGCAAGGAAGGGCCGUCUGUUUUAGCGUUAAUCAAGGGAAAAGAGAAAUGGGAUAGUAACACAAGCCUGGGAUUGGACAAGGACAACAAAAUCUUCCAAUCAACCAUUUUACGUGGACCGUCAAAUUCUGCAUCUGCUGCAAGUGCUUUUGGAGAUUCUACUCGAAAAAUAAUGGAUGGUGAUCCUGAAGAUGUUGAGGGAGGAUAUCGAGUGGACGAUCUACAAAAGCCACCAACUUCCUCAGUUAAUGAAAGUAACAGCAGAAGUUCAGAGAAAAUAUCAUCAGUGAAUAAGGAGAGCUGGAUGGAGAAAAAUUUUCACCAAUUGGAGCCUGUAGUGAAGAAGAUUGAAGGUGGAUUUAGAGAUAAUUACAUGGUUGCGAGGGAAAAAGUUAAACAAGAGUUGGAUACAAAUUUCGAGAUGAUACAGUCCAAAUUUGAUGAAGAUGACGCUGAACUUGACUGGAUGAAAGAUGAUAGGCUUAGAGAAAUUGUAUUUCAAGUCCGAGAAAAUGAGUUAGCGGGGCGUGAUCCAUUUUACCUGAUGGAUGAUGAAGAUAAACUCGGGUUCUUCAAGGGCCUUGAGAGAAAAGUUGAGAAAGAGAAUGAAAAACUAUCCAGUUUGCAUGAAUAUCUCCAUUCAAACAUUGAAAACCUUGACUAUGGUGCAGAUGGUAUUAGCAUGUAUGAUCCACCGGAAAAAAUUAUACCCCGCUGGAAAGGUCCCCCACUCGAUAGAAAACCCGAGUUUCUCAAUAACUUUGCUGAACAAAGGGCAACACUUAGUGCUAGAAAUUUUAGUAAUUCAGACAUUGAGAGGAAGGAUGGGCAGAACUUCCCUCAGAAAUCUAAAGAACCUCCAGCCAAUGAAAAUGUUCAGCUGACCUCAGCAGUAAAUAAUCAGAAUACAAAAAUUCUUGAAGGGAAUUCAAGGAGUCCCAAGACAGUUAUAGAAGGCAGCGAUGGUUCUGUUAGAGCCGGCAAAAAAUCAGGAAAAGAGUACUGGCAGCACACUAAGAAAUGGUCUCGUGGGUUUUUGGAAUCUUAUAAUGCAGAGGCGGACCCAGAAACUAAAGCUAUCAUGAAGGAUAUUGGGAAGGAUUUGGAUCGAUGGAUCACUGAGAAGGAAAUAGAGGAAGCAGCUGAUCUGAUGGAUAAAAUAUCUGAGAGAGGACGGAAAUUCAUUGACAAGAAACUUAACAAGGUCAAAAGAGAAAUGGAACUGUUUGGACCACAAGCUGUCAUGAGCAAAUACCGGGAAUAUGCUGAAGAGAAGGAAGAAGAUUAUUUGUGGUGGCUAGAUCUUCCCUUUGUACUGUGUAUCGAAUUAUACACACAUGAAAAUGGGGAACAAAAAGUAGGAUUUUAUUCAUUAGAGAUGGCAGAAGAUCUUGAAUUGGAUCCAAAGCAGUAUCAUGUGAUUGCUUUUGAGGACCCUGGUGAUUGCAAGAACCUUUGCUAUAUUAUGCAGGCUCAUAUGGAGAUGAUUGGAAAUGGCAAUGCAUUUGUUGUUGCGCGACCACCUAAGGAUGCUUUUCGGGAAGCCAAAGCAAAUGGACUUAGUGUGACAGUCAUCAGGAAAGGAGUGCUGCAGUUGAAUGUGGACCAAACACUGGAAGAAGUUGAGGAACAGAUUACUGAGAUUGGGACAAAGAUAUACCAUGAUAAAAUCAUGCGUGAACAGUCUGUGGAUAUAAGUGCAUUAACGAAAGGUGUAUUUGGUGCCAUGAAACCCAGUAAAAGGAGAAGGUCAAGGCGGAAACUGAAAAAGCAUACGAAGUAAAGGUUAGAGUCAUUAAUUAACUUCUAUCACAGCUCAAGAAAAGCUUCACCAAAGAGGCUCAGUAUCGUGAAUGACUGGAAUGGAUAUCUCUACAUUGUAAAUGAGCCAGUUCUCCCUACAGGUGAUGCUUGCUUCCCAUACUCCAGACAAGAAGGAACAAAAGCUAGUCAUCCAAAGAUCUUCAUAGAAAACCUUGACGGACUCCCUGUUUGCACUUCUAAGUUGAAGUCGAGCACGUUUUCUUGAUCUCAUGGCAGGAUGCAGAGGUGGCAGUCCCGACUCUUGAGCCAAACCAUCAUCCAAGCUCUCUUCAGCUCUAGCCUGUUCUGUUAUUUCUGGUACCGGGUUCUGCCAAUACCGUGCAUACGAUGUUGAUCAAACUAAAUCAUGUGGAUCUCUAAGCUCGACAUUGGAACAUCUUCUGUAAUUUCAAAAUAUUUUCAGUCUGUGUACCAAUCCCUACUGCCCUUAAAAAAUUUAUUUCUGCUCGUUCUCUCCCAUGUAUGGAUGCUAAGAGGCGGGUUUUGAUUAAUGGGUUGAUCAAACCAUAAAUUUUAUUGCA